Molecule: ribosomal RNA, 642 nt
Filed under: uncultured Bacteroidales bacterium
Lineage: Bacteria; Pseudomonadati; Bacteroidota; Bacteroidia; Bacteroidales
Description: bacterial SSU rRNA
Rfam family: Bacterial small subunit ribosomal RNA
Source: RNAcentral
CAGCAUUUCAGUUGCUUGCAAACUGGAGAUGGCGACCGGCGCACGGGUGAGUAACACGUAUCCAACCUGCCGAUAACUCGGGGAUAGCCUUUCGAAAGAAAGAUUAAUACCCGAUGGCAUAAUAGAACCGCAUGGUUUUUUUAUUAAAGAAUUUCGGUUAUCGAUGGGGAUGCGUUCCAUUAGGCAGUUGGUGAGGUAACGGCUCACCAAACCUUCGAUGGAUAGGGGUUCUGAGAGGAAGGUCCCCCACAUUGGAACUGAGACACGGUCCAAACUCCUACGGGAGGCAGCAGUGAGGAAUAUUGGUCAAUGGGCGCAGGCCUGAACCAGCCAAGUAGCGUGAAGGAUGACUGCCCUAUGGGUUGUAAACUUCUUUUAUAUGGGAAUAAAGUUUUCCACGUGUGGAAUUUUGUAUGUACCAUAUGAAUAAGGAUCGGCUAACUCCGUGCCAGCAGCCGCGGUAAUACGGAGGAUCCGAGCGUUAUCCGGAUUUAUUGGGUUUAAAGGGAGCGUAGGUGGACAGUUAAGUCAGUUGUGAAAGUUUGCGGCUCAACCGUAAAAUUGCAGUUGAUACUGGCUGUCUUGAGUACAGUAGAGGUGGGCGGAAUUCGUGGUGUAGCGGUGAGAUGCUUAGAUAUCACG